GGGGGGGGGGGGGGGGGGGGGGGGGGGGGGGGGGGCGGGGGGGGGGGGGCGGCUGGUGUGGGGGGCGCGAGUGGGGAACGGGUGCGUAGCACGUGAGUAACCUGCCCUUGACUUUGGGAUAACUUCAGGAAGCUGGGGCUAAUACCGGCUAGGAGCUCCUGCUGCAUGGUGGGGGUUGGAAAGUUUCGGCGGUUGGGGAUGGACUCGCGGCUUAUCAGCUUGUUGGUGGGGUAGUGGCUUACCAAGGCUUUGACGGGUAGCCGGCCUGAGAGGGUGACCGGCCACAUUGGGACUGAGAUACGGCCCAGACUCCUACGGGAGGCAGCAGUGGGGAAUAUUGCACAAUGGGCGGAAGCCUGAUGCAGCAACGCCGCGUGCGGGAUGACGGCCUUCGGGUUGUAAACCGCUUUCGCCUGUGACGAAGCGUGAGUGACGGUAAUGGGUAAAGAAGCACCGGCUAACUACGUG
This 468-nucleotide ribosomal RNA is filed under the name uncultured bacterium. RNAcentral's name for it is "partial 16S ribosomal RNA". The stretch from base 48 to 468 matches the Rfam family "Bacterial small subunit ribosomal RNA", at positions 38 to 507 of the family's 1533-position model. The record is from RNAcentral.